Long non-coding RNA from Miniopterus natalensis, 389 nucleotides. RefSeq lists it as uncharacterized. NCBI's taxonomy places the organism in Eukaryota, Metazoa, Chordata, Mammalia, Chiroptera, Miniopteridae. The record is from RefSeq and is a predicted model, not a curated record.
CUGGUGAUGGAACUUCAUUCUGUUGACUUCUAGAUUCCUUGCGGAAAGCUGCUUCCUGAGGAGCCCGGUGGCCACCGCUGUCCAUGUGGGCAGAGCCAGGGGGCCUAGACACGGUGCGCUGAGCCCGCUGGCAGCUGGCUGCUGGGAGGCCAGGAACAGCCUCCAGGGAAGACGCAGCAAUGGUAGAAAGAUGGCUCUGCUGAGAUGAGCUCUUAAUUAAUGCACUGAGAGCUCCGAGUCCCACCUCUCAACAGGAAUGAUUGACGUCCAAGGAUACAUAAAUUACACUAAUUGAGCUCUGCCUCUGUUAUUGCCACAGCCAACUCAUCAGAGAAGCGAGGCUUAUACCACAACCAACAUCUUCGCUUGGCAACUCUAAUGAGCCACCC